AAAAAAAAAAAAAAGAAAAGAAAAAAUGGGUCUUUAAUAUUGGUUUUAAACUGACAUUGUAGGUGUGGGUUUAGACGAUCUAUGUUCCUGUUCAUCAGAUUUGUCGUGGGUUUAGAUCUGUUCGUUCCCCAUGUGUUUCGUCACUCUAGCUCCCCGUGCAUUCCACCGUUUGCUCCACCACUCAAAUCUGUUCUCGAUCUGCCAUUCUUCAAGGUCUAUCAGCUCAUUUCACACGCCAUUCACCAGAUCAUGCCAAGGGUUCCGCCGAGCUCCAUCGUUCUUCCAAUUUCGACCACUGCUCAGAUCUAUCCACGAUCUAUUUGAUCUUCGAAGAACAAAACCAGCUUCAUCCUUUGCCUCAAUAACAACAACAAGAAGAAACUCAAUAAUGUUUGAAGAAUAAACCCUAACAUCCAUUUAAUUUCUAUACCAAAAUGUCGUGGCAAACAUAUGUUAAUGAUCAUUUGAUGUGCAACAUUGAUGGCCAAGGCCAGCUCGGAUGGUCUUCAAGGACACAGAGAAUGGGAGGCUGAGGUUAGCUUUCUCGGAGAGCUUUUACCAUCCCAAUCUUGUUAAACUUAUUGGAUACUGUAUUGAAGAUUAUCAAAGGCUUCUUGUAUAUGAAUUUAUUACGCGCGAUAGUCUUGAAAACCAUCUUUCUUGGAGGCACCAUAUGUGGCAGCCUAGGUACCAUUGCUAACCUCUAUUUUUUAGAGUUGGAGCUGGGGUUCCUUCUUUUGUGGGUAAGGUUCUUUAAUAUGUCCUUGUAUAUUCUUUCAUUUCUUUUACUUAAUACAAAUUUUUUAAAAAUUUAUGUUGUAAAUCAUUUAGGUGGUUGCUUUGCUGUGUCUUUGUAUAUUCUUUCAUUUUUUUAAUCAUUUAUGGCGGUUGCUUUGCUUUGUUUCCCAAAAACCAUGAUGAGAUAGAUCUUGAGUUCUUAGAGAAAACUCGAGACAGAUUUGAGGGUUCUGACCAAUAUUUAUGGGAAUGAAGUACACAACAUUUUCGGUAAGUUUUAUGUUUUAAACUUUGUCUAUAAAAUCAAUUAAGGCACUGCAUAUUACUUUACAAACCUUGGAAAAUCCCUUAUUUGUAGUUUGAAACUAAUUAGGAGUAUUCAAGUUAAUUUCUAAGACAAUUUUGAAUUCUAUCAUCAUUCUUAAGAUUCUAGUUUAAAUUUUAUGAUAUACUGCAAUAAUUUUAACUGAAAAGAGAAAGAAUGAGGGAACAAAUUCUAUCAAUAUUUGAAUUCUCCUUUAAAAUUUAGCUCUUAUGACAUUUAUGUUGAUUUUGUGGUUCGUUCUGUUUAGAAGAGUAAGAUUUUGAAGUUCUUGGGAUUUAUAUUGAACCCUCUCUCAUAAAUCAUGGAAGCUACAACUAUAAUGGCUAUUACCCUAGCUAAUA
This is a long non-coding RNA of Benincasa hispida (wax gourd), 1404 nucleotides long. RefSeq lists it as uncharacterized. The record is from RefSeq and is a predicted model, not a curated record. NCBI's taxonomy places the organism in Eukaryota, Viridiplantae, Streptophyta, Magnoliopsida, Cucurbitales, Cucurbitaceae.